AGAGAAGGCUGGACGGUCGCCGGCCGUGGCAACGCGGCGGGAGGAAAGUCCGGGCUCCGCAGGGCAGGGUGCUGGGUAACGCCCAGGGGGGGUAACCCCACGGACCAGUGCCACAGAAAAGAGACCGCCGUCUCGUCGAGCCUGCGAGGGUGGCGAG
Molecule: RNase P RNA, 157 nt
Filed under: Candidatus Rokuibacteriota bacterium
Lineage: Bacteria; Candidatus Rokuibacteriota
Description: Candidatus Rokubacteria bacterium partial RNase P RNA component class A
Rfam family: Bacterial RNase P class A
About the family: Ribonuclease P (RNase P) is a ubiquitous endoribonuclease, found in archaea, bacteria and eukarya as well as chloroplasts and mitochondria. Its best characterised activity is the generation of mature 5'-ends of tRNAs by cleaving the 5'-leader elements of precursor-tRNAs. Cellular RNase Ps are ribonucleoproteins.
Source: RNAcentral